This 501-nucleotide ribosomal RNA is filed under the name uncultured bacterium. Its description in RNAcentral is "bacterial SSU rRNA". It matches the Rfam family "Bacterial small subunit ribosomal RNA", at positions 28 to 518 of the family's 1533-position model. The record is from RNAcentral.
GAUGAACGCUAGCGGCAGGCUUAACACAUGCAAGUCGAGGGGCAACACGGGUAGCAAUACCUGGUGGCGACCGGCGCAAGGGUGCGUAACGCGUGAGCAACAUGCCCUAUACAGGGGGAUAAUCCAGGGAAACUUGGUCUAAUAUCCCAUAGUAUUUAGAGGUGGCAUCACCACUAAAUUAAAGCUUCGGUGGUAUAGGAUUGGCUCGCGUGACAUUAGCUGGAUGGUGGGGUAACGGCUCACCAUGGCGAUGAUGUCUAGGGGUUCUGAGAGGAAGACCCCCCACACUGGGACUGAGACACGGCCCAGACUCCUACGGGAGGCAGCAGUGAGGAAUAUUGGACAAUGGGCGCAAGCCUGAUCCAGCCAUGCCGCGUGAGUGAAGAAGGCCCUCGGGUUGUAAAGCUCUUUUGUCCGGAAAGAAAAGCGCCGGGUUAAUACCCUAGUGUCCUGACGGUACCGGAAGAAUAAGCACCGGCUAACUUCGUGCCAGCAGCCGAC